RNAcentral lists this transfer RNA (142 nucleotides) under Nitrososphaerota archaeon. Its description in RNAcentral is "tRNA-Arg". It matches the Rfam family "tRNA". From Rfam's summary of the family: Transfer RNA (tRNA) molecules are approximately 80 nucleotides in length. Their secondary structure includes four short double-helical elements and three loops (D, anti-codon, and T loops). The record is from RNAcentral. RNAcentral also lists the same sequence under 2 other names. Lineage: Archaea; Thermoproteati; Nitrososphaerota.
GGGCGAGUAGCUCAGUACGGAUACACCAACCUGGCUUUUACCGCUCGGCUCUAAAUUAGUCGAGUUUAUGCCAAGGGGUGCCGGAUAGAGCACCAGCCUCCUAAGUUGGGGGUCGAGGGUUCAAAUCCCUCCUCGUCCGCCA